GAUGAAGAACGCAGCGAAAUGCGAUAAGUAGUGUGAAUUGCAGAAUUCAGUGAAUCAUCGAAUCUUUGAACGCACAUUGCGCCCCUUGGUAUUCCAUGGGGCAUGCCUGUUCGAGCGUCAUUUGUACCUUCAAGCUCUGCUCGGUGUUGGGUGUUUGUCUCGCCUCUGCGUGUAGACUCGCCUCAAAACAAUUGGCAGCCGGCGUAUUGAUUUCGGAGCGCAGUACAUCUCGCGCUUUGCACUCAUAACGACGACGUCCAAAAGUACAUUUUUACACUCUUGACCUCGGAUCAGGUAGGGAUACCCGCUGAACUUAAGCAUAUCAAUAAGCGGAGGA
This 337-nucleotide unclassified non-coding RNA is filed under the name soil metagenome. Its description in RNAcentral is "partial contains 5.8S ribosomal RNA, internal transcribed spacer 2, and large subunit ribosomal RNA". The stretch from base 1 to 120 matches the Rfam family "5.8S ribosomal RNA", at positions 35 to 154 of the family's 154-position model. The record is from RNAcentral.